Molecule: non-coding RNA, 904 nt
Filed under: Scleropages leichardti (spotted bonytongue)
Lineage: Eukaryota; Metazoa; Chordata; Actinopteri; Osteoglossiformes; Osteoglossidae
Description: partial 12S ribosomal RNA
Rfam family: Bacterial small subunit ribosomal RNA
Source: RNAcentral
UCCAACCCACUAAUAACACCUUCUGGUCUAGAGGAACUGGUAUCAGGCACACAACUGUAGCCCAAGACGCCUUGCUCAGCCACACCCCCAAGGGUACUCAGCAGUGAUUAAUAUUAAACAUAAGCGAAAGCUUGAUUUAAUUAUGGUUAAGAGAGCCGGUUAAACUCGUGCCAGCCACCGCGGUUAUACGAGAGGCCCUAGUUGACAUCAUCGGCGUAAAGCGUGAUUACAGGAUAUUAAAAACUAAAGCCAAAAGAUCUCAAAGCUGUUAUACGCGCAUUGAAAUCAGUAGGCCCUUAAACGAAAGUAGCUUUAAACAAGCACCUGGACCUCACGACAGCUGGGAAACAAACUGGGAUUAGAUACCCCACUAUGCCCAGUCGUAAACUUUGAUGAUAAUAUACCUAUACCAUUCGCCAGGGAACUACGAGCGCAUUGCUUAAAAUCCAACGGACUUGGCGGUGCCCCACACUCCACCUAGAGGAGCCUGUUCUAUAACUGAAACUACUCGUUAAACCUCACCGCCCCUAGCCAUACAGUCUAUAUACCGCCGUCGCAAGCCCACCCUGUGAGGGAGAAGCAGCAAGCAAGAUGRGUAUAGCCCAGAACGUCAGGUCGAGGUGUAGCACAUGAGGCGGAAAGAAAUGGGCUACAUUUUCUGAAAAACAGAACACACGAAUAUAACUAUGAAACAUAUUACUUGAAGGAGGAUUUAGCAGUAAAAAGAAAGCAGAGAGUUCUUUUGAAGCCGGCUCUGGGGCGCGCACACACCGCCCGUCACUCUCCACUAGAUUAUUCUAAGAAUAACAUGGCAGCAAUAAAAUUAAUAAACAAAAUAUGCCCCCAACUCAGCGGAGACAAGUCGUAACACGGUAAGUGUACCGGAAGGUGCACUUGGACUAAC